UUUCCGUAGGUGAACCUGCGGAAGGAUCAUUAUUGUAUAACGGAGCUGCGAGGUCUUUCGCGUACCCGAAAGAUCGUGCACGCCCGAGUGGACUCAAACACAUCCAUCUCACCCCUAUGUGCACCACCGCGUGGUUCCCCCUUCGGCUUCUUCGGAGGGGGGCUUACGUUUUCACACAAACUUUAUAUGCUGUGUAGAAUGUAUUUUUUGUUUUUGCGAUAACGCAAUCAAUACAACUUUCAACAACGGAUCUCUUGGCUCUC
This 263-nucleotide unclassified non-coding RNA is filed under the name plant metagenome. RNAcentral describes it as "partial contains small subunit ribosomal RNA, internal transcribed spacer 1, and 5.8S ribosomal RNA". The record is from RNAcentral.